CAAUCUCAGUUCAGACUGCAGGCUGCAACUCGCCUGCACGAAGUCGGAAUUGCUAGUAAUCGUAGGUCAGCAUACUACGGUGAAUACGUUCCCGGGCCUUGUACACACCGCCCGUCAAACCAUGAGAGUUGGCAACACCCGAAGUCGGUAGUCUAACCGCAAGGAGGAUGCCGCCGAAGGUGGGGUUGAUGAUUAGGGUUAAGUCGUAACAAGGUAGC
RNAcentral lists this ribosomal RNA (218 nucleotides) under uncultured bacterium. RNAcentral's name for it is "partial 16S ribosomal RNA". It matches the Rfam family "Bacterial small subunit ribosomal RNA", at positions 1283 to 1500 of the family's 1533-position model. The record is from RNAcentral.